RNAcentral lists this ribosomal RNA (253 nucleotides) under uncultured bacterium. RNAcentral describes it as "partial 16S ribosomal RNA". It matches the Rfam family "Bacterial small subunit ribosomal RNA", at positions 524 to 776 of the family's 1533-position model. The record is from RNAcentral.
UACGUAGGGCGCAAGCGUUGUCCGGAAUUAUUGGGCGUAAAGAGCUCGUAGGUGGUUUGUUACGUCUGCUGUGAAAACCUAGGGCUUAACCCUGGGCCUGCAGUGGAUACGGGCAGACUAGAGGUAGGUAGGGGAGAAUGGAAUUCCCGGUGUAGCGGUGAAAUGCGCAGAUAUCAGGAGGAACACCGGUGGCGAAGGCGGUUCUCUGGGCCUGUACUGACGCUGAGGAGCGAAAGCGUGGGGAGCGAACAGG